GGGGAAUAUUGCGCAAUGGGGGAAACCCUGACGCAGCAACGCCGCGUGCGGGAUGAAGGCCUUCGGGUUGUAAACGGCUUUCAGCAGGGACGAGGGGUUCUGGCGGGUACCGGCGGAGGAGGCACGGGCUAACUACGGGCCAGCAGCCGCGGGGAUACGUAGGGUGCGAGCAUUGUCCGGAAUUAUUGGGCGUAAAGAGCUUGUAGGCGGUCCGUCACGUCGGAAGUGAAAACUCAGGGCUUAACCCUGAGCCUGCUUUCGAUACGGGCAGACUUGAGGGAUGUAGGGGAGAACGGAAUUCCUGGUGGAGCGGUGGAAUGCGCAGAUAUCAGGAGGAACACCAGUGGCGAAGGCGGUUCUCUGGACAUUUCCUGACGCUGAGAAGCGAAAGCGUGGGGAGCAAACA
RNAcentral lists this ribosomal RNA (406 nucleotides) under uncultured Propionicimonas sp. RNAcentral describes it as "bacterial SSU rRNA". It matches the Rfam family "Bacterial small subunit ribosomal RNA", at positions 356 to 774 of the family's 1533-position model. Lineage: Bacteria; Bacillati; Actinomycetota; Actinomycetes; Propionibacteriales; Nocardioidaceae. The record is from RNAcentral.